AUGGACCGCCCGUACCCUCCGGCUCCUGCGCCGUCCACAUACACCUGACCACUGCUCGCUACGUUUUGUGAGCC
RNAcentral lists this small RNA (74 nucleotides) under Xanthomonas citri pv. punicae. Its description in RNAcentral is "sX9 sRNA". It matches the Rfam family "Xanthomonas sRNA sX9". The record is from RNAcentral. Lineage: Bacteria; Pseudomonadati; Pseudomonadota; Gammaproteobacteria; Lysobacterales; Lysobacteraceae.